RNAcentral lists this non-coding RNA (26 nucleotides) under Homo sapiens (human). The record is from RNAcentral. Lineage: Eukaryota; Metazoa; Chordata; Mammalia; Primates; Hominidae.
UGCGAUUACUGAGUACAGUGGGCCUU